RNAcentral lists this transfer-messenger RNA (77 nucleotides) under Thermus sp. RNAcentral describes it as "partial transfer-messenger RNA". It matches the Rfam family "transfer-messenger RNA", at positions 296 to 374 of the family's 374-position model. Rfam says of the family: Bacterial tmRNA, also known as 10Sa RNA or SsrA, is named for its dual tRNA and mRNA-like properties. The record is from RNAcentral. Lineage: Bacteria; Thermotogati; Deinococcota; Deinococci; Thermales; Thermaceae.
CCAAAACGCGGACUACGCGCGUAGAGGCCUGCCGUAGGGACUUUCGGACGGGGGUUCGACUCCCCCCACCUCCACCA